RNAcentral lists this ribosomal RNA (700 nucleotides) under Cryptococcus sp. DBVPG 5915. RNAcentral describes it as "eukaryotic LSU rRNA". The stretch from base 100 to 253 matches the Rfam family "5.8S ribosomal RNA". Lineage: Eukaryota; Fungi; Basidiomycota; Tremellomycetes; Tremellales; Cryptococcaceae. The record is from RNAcentral.
GCUGGUUCUAUCCAUAACACCUGUGCACUGUUGGAUGCUUGCAUCCACUUUUAAACUAAACAUUAUUGUAACAAAUGUAGUCUUAUUAUAACAUAAUAAAACUUUCAACAACGGAUCUCUUGGCUCUCGCAUCGAUGAAGAACGCAGCGAAAUGCGAUAAGUAAUGUGAAUUGCAGAAUUCAGUGAAUCAUCGAAUCUUUGAACGCACCUUGCGCUCCUUGGUAUUCCGAGGAGCAUGCCUGUUUGAGUGUCAUGAAACCCUCAAACCCAAGUUUUGGAUUUCGGUCCAUGCUUGAGUUUGGAUUUGGAUGUUUGCCGGUGAUGAACCGACUCAUCUUAAAAGUAUUAGCUGGAUCUGUCUAUAUGACUGGUUUGACUUGGCAUAAUAAGUAUUUUGCUGAGGACAUCUUCGGAUGGCCAGGACCUAGACUAUUGUCUGCUAACUAAACCAUCACUUUAAGUGCAUCCUUGGAUGUUACUCAUUGUGUAACUUUGACAUCUGGCCUCAAAUCAGGUAGGACUACCCGCUGAACUUAAGCAUAUCAAUAAGCGGAGGAAAAGAAACUAACAAGGAUUCCCCUAGUAACGGCGAGUGAAGCGGGAAGAGCUCAAAUUUGAAAUCUGGUGGCCUCAGGUCAUCCGAGUUGUAAUCUAUAGAAGUGUUUUCCGUGCUGGCUCAUGUACAAGUCCCUUGGAACAG